RNAcentral lists this ribosomal RNA (748 nucleotides) under uncultured Thelephoraceae. RNAcentral describes it as "eukaryotic LSU rRNA". The stretch from base 211 to 365 matches the Rfam family "5.8S ribosomal RNA". The record is from RNAcentral. Lineage: Eukaryota; Fungi; Basidiomycota; Agaricomycetes; Thelephorales; Thelephoraceae.
AGGAUCAUUACCGAAUUGUCAACAAGAGUUGUUGCUGGCCCCUGUACGGGGGCAUGUGCACACUCUGUUUACACAUCCACUCACACCUGUGCACACUCUGUAGUUCUAUGGCCUGGGGGGCUCUGUCCUCCUGCUGUGGUUCUACGUCUUUACACACACACUGUAAUAAAGUCUCAUGGAAUGUAUGUCGCGUUUAACGCAAUGAAAUACAACUUUCAGCAACGGAUCUCUUGGCUCUCGCAUCGAUGAAGAACGCAGCGAAAUGCGAUAAGUAAUGUGAAUUGCAGAAUUCAGUGAAUCAUCGAAUCUUUGAACGCACCUUGCGCCCUUUGGCUAUUCCGAAGGGCAUGCCUGUUUGAGUAUCAUGAACACCUCAACUCUCAUGGCUUGCCGUGAUGAGCUUGGACUUUGGGGGUCUUGCUGGCUUGCAGUCAGCUCCUCUCAAAUAAAUUAGCUUGCCGGUGUUUGGUGGGAUCACAGGUGUGAUAACUAUCUACGCUUGUGGUUUCCCACCAGGUAACCUUCAGCAAUGGAGGUUCGCUGGAGCUCAUAAAUGUCUCUCCUCAGCGAGGACAGAUUUUGACCAUUUGAUCUCAAAUCAGGUAGGACUACCCGCUGAACUUAAGCAUAUCAAUAAGCGGAGGAAAAGAAACUAACAAGGAUUCCCCUAGUAACUGCGAGUGAAGCGGGAAGAGCUCAAAUUUAAAAUCUGGCGUGCCUCUGGCCGUCCGAGUUGUAGUCUGGAGAA